UGCCCCAGUAACGGCGAGUGAAGCGGCAACAGCUCAAAUUUGAAAUCUGGCUCUCGGGCCCGAGUUGUAAUUUGUAGAGGAUGCUUUUGGUGAGGUGCCUUCCGAGUUCCCUGGAACGGGACGCCAUAGAGGGUGAGAGCCCCGUCUGGUUGGACACCGAUCCUCUGUAAAGCUCCUUCGACGAGUCGAGUAGUUUGGGAAUGCUGCUCUAAAUGGGAGGUAUAUGUCUUCUAAAGCUAAAUACCGGCCAGAGACCGAUAGCGCACAAGUAGAGUGAUCGAAAGAUGAAAAGAACUUUGAAAAGAGAGUUAAAAAGUACGUGAAAUUGUUGAAAGGGAAGCGCUUGUGACCAGACUUGGGCUUGGUUGAUCAUCCGGGGUUCUCCCCGGUGCACUCUUCCGGCUCAGGCCAGCAUCAGUUCGCCCUGGGGGAUAAAGGCUUCGGGAAUGUGGCUCUCUCCGGGGAGUGUUAUAGCCCGCUGCGUAAUACCCUGUGGCGGACUGAGGUUCGCGCAUUCGCAAGGAUGCUGGCGUAAUGGUCAUCAGUGACCCGUCUUGAAACACGGACCAAGGAGUCGUCUUCGUAUGCGAGUGUUCGGGUGUCAAACCCCUACGCGAAAUGAAAGUGAACGCAGGUGAGAGCUUCGGCGCAUCAUCGACCGAUCCUGAUGUUAUCGGAUGGAUUUGAGUAAGAGCAUACGGGGCCGGACCCGAAAGAAGGUGAACUAUGCCUGUGUAGGGUGAAGCCAGAGGAAACUCUGGUGGAGGCUCGCAGCGGUUCUGACGUGCAAAUCGAUCGUCAAACAUGGGCAUGGGGGCGAAAGACUAAUCGAACCUUCUAGUAGCUGGUUUCCGCCGAAGUUUCCCUCAGGAUAGCAGUGUUGAACUCAGUUUUAUGAGGUAAAGCGAAUGAUUAGGGACUCGGGGGCGCUAUUUAGCCUUCAUCCAUUCUCAAACUUUAAAUAUGUAAGAAGCCCUUGUUGCUUAAUUGAACG
RNAcentral lists this ribosomal RNA (994 nucleotides) under Fusarium falciforme. Its description in RNAcentral is "partial large subunit ribosomal RNA". It matches the Rfam family "Eukaryotic large subunit ribosomal RNA", at positions 76 to 1101 of the family's 3401-position model. Lineage: Eukaryota; Fungi; Ascomycota; Sordariomycetes; Hypocreales; Nectriaceae. The record is from RNAcentral.